GGACCCCCAGUUUCCUCGGUGAUGCGUUUCACUCCGGGACCGCUCCCACGACCCCACCCCUGCCCUCGUGACUCCGUAACGUGAGCGCGGGGAGCAGACGCAUCACUUGUCCCCCGAUCGCAGAAAGUUCCCCGCGGCAGGGUUCCCCGAAAAGGAAAACGCCAAACCGGGAGGAGAAGGGAGGGGACGUGGGAUGGAGCGAGCGAGUAGUGGGGGGGGGGAUGGACACAAGAGAAACGAUCCGAUAUUAGAACAUGUCAGGAGGGAGGUAUGUAAGCAAUGGAGGUUUCCAAAACGAACAUUUCUCAGGGAUUUCGGCAACGCCGCCCCGUUUUCCCCGCUCUUUCACCGCGACAGAAACCGCAGACACCCGGACCGUGCUACCGCAGUCACCACUUUCAACUGGACAUGCUCAGCCGUUGCUUUGAGAGAGUGGGAAUCAUCCCUCUUGACGGUUCUGACCACAAGCACCAUGCAUUUAAACACACACUCACACCCAUAUAUAACGCUGAUGACACUCUUGGCAGUCAACGGUGUGGCCGGAUUGUAUGGUUUGGGUGAAAUGCAAUGAAACGUGUGAAACGUUCUUCAUGAUCCACCAUCCACCAUAGGCUAAUAGGGAUGAUUACGGUUAAACCCCAAACCCUGUAAAACAGUAGAUAAGUGGUAACUGUGUCUACUUUUCUCGUGUAAUAUAUGUGGAUACACUAUUCUAUACAGACACAUGCAACUUAACAACACCACAAGUGUGCAUCCCUGUAUCACUCUCACUCUUCAUCUUGGUAGUUUCUCAAUGAGUGAAUAAAGUAAUUGAAAACCUUCAGACACUUUCUGAAAAGUUCAGUCUUGCAAAUUGAUUGAUUAAAUGAUUGAAUGCAAUAGUGGAUGAAACGAAACCCCUUAUUAUCAUGAAUAUUUGGAGAGUUAUCCAAAAAUUGGUAUUGGUGAAUAUUGACUGUGUAAAUGGUUAAUACAUUGAUCUAUUUGUUAGCCCUUUUCUGUUUUCCUAGCAGGGGUUUCAGAUCUGUACAUUUUUGCUCAUUGUAGGAGAGCCCUGAACAACUAGGCUGGCUGUACACGGUGACGCAAUAGCUUUUCAUCAAUAUCCUGGACUCGGCACCAUGUUCCCGCGCACGAGGAAAAGUUACGGCCCUUGAAUGGGCUAAUAAUGGGAUGAGUGUCUCUUCUGUGGAAAGAAAGCGUCUACCGCUCAGACAGGGAAGUGCUCGCAGACAGCGCAAAUUCCUGAGUCCCAUUGGGCAUACGGACCUGCUGUCCGUCAACUCCAAUUUGCUGCAGUGGAACAGGAUUUUUUAAGGCCUGGGAAACAAGGCCGAGCUGCGGCAGCGGGCCGUGUUGUGUUUAGCGCUGGCCCGUUGGAUUGCUGUUUUUCCACAUUCUGCAGGGCACUGCGCAGUAUCACUUCAAACGAAACGUCUUAGGACUGAUUUGGUGCAAAAUGGCCCCAUGCAACGUGCAAUAAGGAAUUUAGCAAUUAGCAAUUAGCACUGAUUUCGGGAGCAAGCAACUCUUGGCAUGUAGCAGAGGGCUGAAACAGCAUGUCAUUCUCUUAAUUCACAUCUGGCGAGAUGUGUAAUAUAGGAAAAACAGAGGUGUAGCACGGCGACGGAAAGACACACAUUUCUUACACACGUGGCAGGGCCUGUUUAAAUAAUCAAAGGUUGCAUGUGCUGAUGUCUGUUGGCAGACACUGGUUACGAAACAUGGCACAGCGACAUGGCCACCUGGGGGGCCGAAAAAUCGUGUGUGUGUUUAUGUGCGUGCAUGCAUGCACCUUCAGCGCGUUCAUUCACUGUAGGAAUGAAAGUAGAAAUGAAAGAAAGCAAACAAAUGAAUGAAAGGUGUCGCAUUUUGGAUGCCUUCUUUUGACAUUGUACACGCGUCACACGCUCUCAUCUGCCAGUGAACUCAAGCAAGGUCGUGUGUGUGAUGUCAUAUUACCCCCCAACUGCCCAUUCUGUCUUUCCUCCGUGUGUGGGGCCCCUUUUCCAGCAGCGGAGAAGAGAUAAGAAGCAUUGGCUCUGCGCUCUCCGAGCCUUUGAACACUUGGCCAACUUCAUUUGUACCCUGUAAGCAGAAUUAAGUUUGACAAUUAACUGUGCUCUCUCAAACGAACUGGCUAUGCGCCACUUAACAUGCACUUCAGGUCCCAGCUGGAUGGAAUUUUCUACUUUCUGAACCCUGCGCCCUAUCAUGUCAAAAGAGCUCUUUGUGGACACGGCAUUACCAGCAUAGAGAAAUGCAUAUGGCAUGCCUCUAUUCCACCGCAGAUCACUGGACAUUCAAUAAAGCAUGUUCUUAUCCAUUUAAAAAUCUGUUAUUAACAAUGACAUGGGUAACACAAUG
Denticeps clupeoides (denticle herring) is the source of this 2367-nucleotide long non-coding RNA. NCBI's taxonomy places the organism in Eukaryota, Metazoa, Chordata, Actinopteri, Clupeiformes, Denticipitidae. The record is from Ensembl.